AACGAACGCUGGCGGCAUGCCUAACACAUGCAAGUCGAACGAGACCUUCGGGUCUAGUGGCGCACGGGUGCGUAACGCGUGGGAACCUGCCCUUAGGUUCGGAAUAACUCAGAGAAAUUUGAGCUAAUACCGGAUAAUGUCUUCGGACCAAAGAUUUAUCGCCUUUGGAUGGGCCCGCGUAGGAUUAGCUUGUUGGUGGGGUAAUGGCCUACCAAGGCGACGAUCCUUAGCUGGUCUGAGAGGAUGAUCAGCCACACUGGGACUGAGACACGGCCCAGACUCCUACGGGAGGCAGCAGUGGGGAAUAUUGGACAAUGGGCGAAAGGCUGAUCCAGCAAUGCCGCGUGAGUGAUGAAGGCCUUAGGGUUGUAAAGCUCUUUUACCAGGUAUGAUAAUGACAGUACCUGGAGAAUAAGCUCCGGCUAACUCCGUG
RNAcentral lists this ribosomal RNA (433 nucleotides) under uncultured bacterium. Its description in RNAcentral is "partial 16S ribosomal RNA". It matches the Rfam family "Bacterial small subunit ribosomal RNA", at positions 29 to 507 of the family's 1533-position model. The record is from RNAcentral.